RNAcentral lists this ribosomal RNA (426 nucleotides) under uncultured Actinomycetes bacterium. RNAcentral describes it as "bacterial SSU rRNA". It matches the Rfam family "Bacterial small subunit ribosomal RNA", at positions 233 to 671 of the family's 1533-position model. The record is from RNAcentral. Lineage: Bacteria; Bacillati; Actinomycetota; Actinomycetes.
GCGGCCUAUCAGCUUGUUGGUGAGGUAACGGCUCACCAAGGCUACGACGGGUAACCGGCCUGAGAGGGCGAACGGUCACACUGGGACUGAGACACGGCCCAGACUCCUACGGGAGGCAGCAGUGGGGAAUAUUGGGCAAUGGGCGGAAGCCUGACCCAGCGACGCCGCGUGAGGGAUGAAGGCCUUCGGGUUGUAAACCUCUUUCAGCAGGGAAGAAGCGAAAGUGACGGUACCUGCAGAAGAAGCACCGGCUAACUAUGUGCCAGCAGCCGCGGUAAUACAUAGGGUGCAAGCGUUGUCCGGAAUUAUUGGGCGUAAAGAGCUCGUAGGUCGUUUGUUACGUCGGAUGUGAAAACCUGAGGCUCAACCUCAGGCCUGCAUUCGAUACGGGCAAACUAGAGUUUGGUAGGGGAGACUGGAAUUCCU